GAUAGCUUAGUUGGUAGAGCAUGAGACUCUUAAUCUCAGGGUCGUGGGUUCAAGCCAAAAGGAUUUCCUUCAUUGCA
Non-coding RNA from Podarcis lilfordi (Lilford's wall lizard), 77 nucleotides. The record is from the annotation of a GenBank genome assembly. NCBI's taxonomy places the organism in Eukaryota, Metazoa, Chordata, Lepidosauria, Squamata, Lacertidae.